This 283-nucleotide ribosomal RNA is filed under the name Williopsis jadinii. RNAcentral describes it as "Cyberlindnera jadinii partial 28S ribosomal RNA". It matches the Rfam family "Eukaryotic large subunit ribosomal RNA", at positions 1 to 275 of the family's 3401-position model. The record is from RNAcentral. Lineage: Eukaryota; Fungi; Ascomycota; Saccharomycetes; Phaffomycetales; Wickerhamomycetaceae.
GCUUGACCUCAAAUCAGGUAGGACUACCGCGCUGAACUUAAGCAUAUCAAUAAGCGGAGGAAAAGAAACCAACAGGGAUUGCCUCAGUAACGGCGAGUGAAGCGGCAAAAGCUCAAAUUUGAAAUCUGAGGCUCUCCAGCCCCCGAGUUGUAAUUUGAAGAUGGUGUUCUGGUGCCGGCGCCCUGUCUACGUUCCUUGGAACAGGACAUCGCAGAGGGUGAGAAUCCCGUGUGGCGGGGCGGCCUGGCUCCGUGUAGAGCGCCAUCGACGAGUCGAGUUGUUG